GAUGAAGAACGUAGUGAAAUGCGAUACGUAAUGUGAAUUGCAGAAUUCAGUGAAUCAUCGAGUCUUUGAACGCACAUUGCGCCCCCUGGUAUUCCGGCGGGCAUGCCUGUUCGAGCGUCAUUACAACCCUCAGGCCCCCGGGCCUGGCGUUGGGGAUCGGCGGAGCCCCCCGUGGGCACACGCCGUCCCCCAAAUGCAGUGGCGGUCCCGCCGCAGCUUCCAUCGCGUAGUAGCUAACACCUCGCGACUGGAGAGCGGCGCGGCCACGCCGUAAAACACCCAACUCUUCUGAAGUUGACCUCGAAUCAGGUAGGAAUACCCGCUGAACUUAAGCAUAUCAAUAAGCGGAGGA
This 352-nucleotide unclassified non-coding RNA is filed under the name soil metagenome. RNAcentral describes it as "partial contains 5.8S ribosomal RNA, internal transcribed spacer 2, and large subunit ribosomal RNA". The stretch from base 1 to 120 matches the Rfam family "5.8S ribosomal RNA", at positions 35 to 154 of the family's 154-position model. The record is from RNAcentral.